RNAcentral lists this long non-coding RNA (677 nucleotides) under Phoenix dactylifera (date palm). RNAcentral describes it as "long non-coding RNA (PDAC_LNC009019)". The record is from RNAcentral. Lineage: Eukaryota; Viridiplantae; Streptophyta; Magnoliopsida; Arecales; Arecaceae.
UUGUUGCCCAAGGUGACAACCCAAGAGGGGGGGGGGGGGUGAAUUGGGUCUUUUAAAAACUUUUAAACUACUUCUAAUCUUUUAGAUUAAUUAUGCUAAGUUGUAUGAAUACUUAGUGAAGCUUAACCUUAGCUAGAGUAUGAUUCUAAUCUAAUCAAUUAUUAAGCAGCGGGUUCAAUAAAAGAUUAGUCAGAUUCUGCCCAAGUAUUCUAUUCAAUUGAAUGAUUGAGUAAAUUGUUUAUGCUUGCAACUAAAGGAUGCACAAAGAGGAGUUAAGCAAGCUUAAUAUCUAAGUAAGUGGGUGAGGAGGUCAGUCAACAAACAGCAUCACAAACACAACAAAAUUAUAGUGGUUCGGUGCAUCCCAGCACCUACAUCCACUCCCCAAGACCUCUUGGGAAUUUCACUAUAAUCCUACAGAUUACAGCCGGUUGUUUUACAAGCUCACAACCCAACUUGUUGUUUUACGAGGUCACAACGAACUCAGUCGGUUUUCCCAGGCUCACCGACUAGAACCACCCCCGAUUGUUUUCUCGGGAUCACAAUCAAACCCUUUACACGUUGGUUUUCCCUUUGGCUCACCAACAAACCUUACACCGUUGGUUUUCCCUUCGGCUCACCAACAAACCUUUAACCCCUUGAUUCAAUCCCUUGAUUGAAUCAAGUUACAAGAUAUU